GUUUGGCACUCACAUUCAGUGUAGAAAACUAAAUAGCGCGAUCAAAACAUGUUUUCGUUCUUGUUCGUGUAAUUUUGCAGGAGAUUUUACUCUAAAUACUGUGAUUAAUUGGUUUAACAUACAACGAGGAAAAUGCAUCGUCUUCCGCUCAAUUUGUGCAAAUUUGCAGCUCGGAUGGCCGAUCCAGUACGGCAGAAUCUGAAAAGUGUAUCUGCCAAGGCCACAGCCACUUCGCUGGUCGUCAACCGUAGCCUCCAAUAUAGACAGUCGUCAUCUAGUACCGGAGCAGCUGAUAACGGCAAUAAGAUUCCAUUGAGCAAAGCAAACAGCAACAACACCACAACCAGCAGUGGGAAGCACGAAGAAGAGGCCAGCCCCUUGACGGACAAGUUUGGCCGAUUUCACAGUUACUUGCGAAUCUCGCUGACGGAGAGGUGCAACUUACGCUGCAAGUAUUGCAUGCCCGAAGAAGGUGUCCCCCUAACGGCAAAGGACAGUCUACUCACAUCCGACGAAGUGCUCCGUCUGGCAGGUCUAUUCGUGCGCGAGGGCGUCCGCAAAAUACGACUUACCGGGGGUGAACCAACGGUGCGCAAAGAUUUGACCGAUAUCGUCGCUGCGUUGAAGCGCAUUCCGUCACUGGAAAGUGUUGGCAUCACAACGAACGGUCUCAUGUUGACCCGACAGCUGGUGGGCCUGCAGCGGGCAGGUCUGGACGGGCUCAAUAUCAGCCUGGACACGCUGAAGGCGGCCAAGUAUGAACGCAUCACCCGGCGGAAGGGCUGGGAGCGGGUCAUCGCCGGAAUUGACCUGGCCAUUCAGCUGGGCUACAAACCGAAAGUCAACUGCGUACUAAUGAAGGGUUUCAACGAUGACGAGCUGUGCGACUUUGUCGAGAUGACCCGGGAUCGUUGCGUAGACAUUCGAUUCAUAGAGUACAUGCCAUUCACUGGGAAUCGGUGGGACACUAGCGAGAUGGUACCGUUCCGUGAGGCUCUGGCCACCAUUCGCGAGCGCUACCCGGAUUUUACGGCCCUCGACAACGGUCCAAACGACACCGCCAAAGCGUUCCACGUGCCGGGCUUCCGGGGUCAGCUGGGCUUCAUCAGCUCGAUGACGGAACACUUUUGCGGUGGUUGCAACCGUUUGCGCAUCACGGCCGACGGUAACCUGAAGGUGUGCCUGUUUGGCAAUACCGAGGUUUCACUGCGCGAUGCACUGCGCUCCGGAUGUUCCGAGGACGACUUGCGCUGCCUCAUUUCGGCGGCAGUUAAGCGAAAAAAGAAGCAACACGCAGGUAUGCUGAACCUGUCCCAGAUGGAGAACCGGCCUAUGAUUUUAAUCGGAGGAUAACGAUCACCCGGUAGAACAAAUGGAAGGCAGCUGACCUCCAAAAUAAAACAAGCGCAAUUACAAACAGGGACGUGAUAGCAAUACACUUAGAAUAGAUAGCAAAAACGGGUAAAAUAUAAGAGCAAAACCAUCUCUCAUCUCAUCCACCAUCCGAUCGUACCCCCUGCUUGGGGUACGCGCCUUCUCCUCACUCAGCCACGUGGACGAGCGCACCGGCAAAGCAACAAUGGUCGACGUAGACGACAAGGUGUCCACCAG
Molecule: RNA transcript, 1611 nt
Organism: Culex quinquefasciatus (southern house mosquito)
Lineage: Eukaryota; Metazoa; Arthropoda; Insecta; Diptera; Culicidae
Gene: Mocs1
Gene name: molybdenum cofactor biosynthesis protein 1
Exons: 5
Source: RefSeq, a predicted model, not a curated record